UAGAAUAAUGACGCUACUUUUCACGGAAUCGCGAAUUUAUAUAGAUGAUAAAGGUUACGACUGGAAUCGAGAGUCUCUACCUUGUCCCGCCAUUUCAAA
Molecule: long non-coding RNA, 99 nt
Organism: Rhipicephalus sanguineus (brown dog tick)
Lineage: Eukaryota; Metazoa; Arthropoda; Arachnida; Ixodida; Ixodidae
Exons: 3
Source: RefSeq, a predicted model, not a curated record